AUGUCGAAUAGAGGAGCUUCGGCAAUGGAAGACAUCGUGGUUCCCAGGGCCGAUAGAUCUUACUUGAAGGAUGAAUCUAGACUCUCCGGAGCACAUUACACUAUAGCGGCUGAAGAAAUGGAAAGUGCCUAUCUUCUGGAAGCCAUCUCAGCUCAGCAAGCGGAAGUCGUAGCAUUAAUUAGGGCCUGUCAGUUGGCAAAAGAAAUAUCCACUGAUAUUUAUACAGACAGUAGAUACACUUUUAGAGUAGCCUAUGAUUUUGAAAGGUUAUGGGAACAAAAAGGGAUCUUGACCUCUCCGGAUCAAUCCAUAAAAAGUGGCCACCUUAUUUCACAACACUAGAAGCCACAUGAUUACCACAGUCACUGGCCAUUAGUAAAAUUCCAGAUAAUUCCAAAUCAGAUACUCCAGAAAGCAGAGGAAAUCAGCUAGCUGAUGAAGUAACAAAGAGAACUUCUCUAAACACAUCCAAACAAACAAACAAAAACCAACCUAUGUUAACUUUUGAGGAUGCACCUGAAUUUGAGAAAAAAUUAGCUCAAGUCAGAACCCCGAAAUCAAAACAAAAAGGCUGGGAAACAAAAGGGUGAAAUAUACUCUUCAAAACAUGAGACAGGGUAUGUGCCAAAUGACUUGCCCGUACUUCCAGCUGAAUUACAAUUAUUUUUUACUUGUGUAUAUGAUCUAACUCACUAGAGUCCUGACAGAUGGUUGCUUGGGGAAAACAAUAUUAUUAAAGCCUUCUCUGAGUAUAGCUCAUAAGGCAUACAACUCCUGUCACAUUUGCAUAAGGUACAGUCAGGGAAAACCAUUACCUGGCUCCCAAAGACAUUUUCCUUUACCCAAGUCUCCCUCUGAAAUAUGGCAAAUGGACUUUAUCUGGCAGCCACCUUCAUAUCACAGGGCUACAGAUAUGUUCUGGUAAUUUUCUGCAUGUUUUCUCAUUGAGAGAGGUAUUUCCAUGCAAAAGAGCAACAGCUUUAGCAGUAAGUAAAAUUGUCUUUAAAAAGAUUAUUCCAACCUGGGAGUUCCUCUGGAACUUCAUAGCAACAGAGACACUCACUUUGACUGGACAAAUAAUUCAAUCAGUACAUAGAAUCUGGCCUAUUUUUCAACAUUUCCAUUGUGCUUGUCACCCUAGCUAUCUGCAUUAGUGAAACACACACGUGAAAUAAUAAAAACCCAGUUAACAAAAUUAAUG
RNAcentral lists this long non-coding RNA (1201 nucleotides) under Callithrix jacchus (white-tufted-ear marmoset). RNAcentral's name for it is "lncRNA (ENSCJAG00000075295.1)". Lineage: Eukaryota; Metazoa; Chordata; Mammalia; Primates; Cebidae. The record is from RNAcentral.